This 113-nucleotide ribosomal RNA is filed under the name Epicoccum sp. RNAcentral's name for it is "5.8S ribosomal RNA". It matches the Rfam family "5.8S ribosomal RNA", at positions 1 to 113 of the family's 154-position model. Rfam says of the family: 5.8S ribosomal RNA (5.8S rRNA) is a component of the large subunit of the eukaryotic ribosome. The record is from RNAcentral. Lineage: Eukaryota; Fungi; Ascomycota; Dothideomycetes; Pleosporales; Didymellaceae.
AACUUUCAACAACGGAUCUCUUGGUUCUGGCAUCGAUGAAGAACGCAGCGAAAUGCGAUAAGUAGUGUGAAUUGCAGAAUUCAGUGAAUCAUCGAAUCUUUGAACGCACAUUG